GACGAACGCUGGCGGCGUGCUUAACACAUGCAAGUCGAACGGAAAGGCCCUGCUUUUGUGGGGUGCUCGAGUGGCGAACGGGUGAGUAACACGUGAGUAACCUGCCCUUUACUUUGUGAUAACUUCAGGAAACUGGUGCUAAUACCUGAUAGGAGCUCCUGCUGCAUGGUGGGGGUUGGAAAGUUUCGGCGGUUGUGGAUGGACUCGCGGCUUAUCAGCUUGUUGGUGGGGUAGUGGCUUACCAAGGCUUUGACGGGUAGCCGGCCUGAGAGGGUGACCGGCCACAUUGGGACUGAGAUACGGCCCAGACUCCUACGGGAGGCAGAAGGGGGGAAUAUUGCACAAUGGGCGGAAGCCUGAUGCAGCAACGCCGCGUGCGGGAUGACGGCCUUCGGGGUGUAAACCGCUUUCGCCUGUGACGAAGCGUGAGUGACGGUAAUGGGUAAAGAAGCACCGGCUAACUACGUG
Molecule: ribosomal RNA, 468 nt
Filed under: uncultured bacterium
Lineage: Bacteria
Description: partial 16S ribosomal RNA
Rfam family: Bacterial small subunit ribosomal RNA
Source: RNAcentral